Molecule: unclassified non-coding RNA, 3167 nt
Filed under: Hevea brasiliensis (rubber tree)
Lineage: Eukaryota; Viridiplantae; Streptophyta; Magnoliopsida; Malpighiales; Euphorbiaceae
Source: RNAcentral
UGCACCAAUCAAUUCGUACAAUUCCAUGAGAAAUUAAGUCUUUGCCCCCCCUACUAUAAAGAGGGGAGGCUGAAGCCAAAAUGGAGUUUAUGACCUUGAUUACUACUUGCUAGUUUAUGGCAAUUGCAGCAACCAUGAACCUCAACUCCAACGAUAACAAUAUCAUCUCCACCACUGCCGCCGCCGCCACCACCACCAAAGAUGACCACGAAAACGACAUGGUUAUGCCUGGAUUUCGCUUCCACCCUACCGAGGAAGAACUCGUUGAGUUCUACCUUCGCCGUAAGGUCGAGGGCAAGCGUUUCAAUGUAGAGCUCAUUACUUUCUUGGAUCUUUAUCGCUACGACCCUUGGGAACUUCCUGCCUUGGCUGCAAUCGGAGAGAAAGAAUGGUUCUUUUAUGUGCCUAGAGACCGAAAGUAUCGAAACGGCGAUCGACCCAAUCGUGUAACUACUUCCGGCUACUGGAAGGCAACAGGAGCUGACCGGAUGAUCAGAACUGAGAACUCCAGGUCAAUUGGGUUAAAGAAAACCCUAGUUUUCUACUCUGGGAAAGCUCCUAAAGGUAUCCGAACAAGCUGGAUCAUGAAUGAAUAUCGCUUGCCACAGCAUGAAACUGAACGAUAUCAGAAGGUAAACAACUGUGUAAGUACAUGAUGCCAAAGAAAUGAAGCUUUUAUUUAGAGGAUAUUAUUUCUUGUUUGUUUUCUGUAAAUUAUAUCAUCUUUGCUUGCUUUCCCAUAUCAUAAAACAUGGUUCCUAGCUCAAAUUUCAAUCUCUCCAAGUAACCCUAGUUGUUAGAGAUGUAUUUAGUUCACAUCCUGGAUAUAUAGUGACUUGAGAGAAGUUUCUUUACUUCUUCACGAGUUGCAGGUGCACAAUCUGAAAUAAGUACUAAAGGAUAAAAGAUAAGAACAAUACUUCUGACAUGAUGAGUUGGGAGUUUCAAAUCUUGUUAUUUAAUUCGAAUUUUAUUAUUAUUUAAUGUUCUUUUUCUCUUCACAAGAAAAUUUAUAGCUCAGCAUGCAUCAACUUUCAAUUCAGUGACCCCAUAAACGCCUCUAGCUAUAUAGGUCCUGCUAAUUCUUUCAUCCCAUGUAUACCAAGUCACAACUUCUAAUUUCCAUCGAUCUUGAUCUUUUCCAGGCUGAGAUAUCACUUUGCCGAGUUUAUAAAAGAGCUGGAGUGGAAGAUCACCCGUCUCUCCCUCGUUCUCUUCCAUCGAGAGCUUCAUCAUCUAGAGGCGCUCAAUCGGAAAAGAAAAAUCUUCAUCAACUUUCCAUUGAAAGAUUUCAACCAUUUGGAGGAGGACAAUCACAGCAAAUAGAGAUGGAGAAGAUGAGUGAAACAGAUGGAAGUAGUAGCUCAGAUGUCACUACUGGUUUAGGACUCUCCAAAAGUACUAAUAAUGAAUACCAUCCUGUACCUACAAUUAGCACUUCACUUGGAUUACCAGCUGCAAUGGAAGAAGAAGAAAUUUUUCUAAACCAGUCUAGACAAGCCUGCUCUUUAGUCCCUAACAAUACCAACCUCUUCACUGGUUCAUCUUCGGUUUCCUCCAACCCGGUUGAUGAUCUCCAUAGACUAGUAAAUUAUCAGCAAGCUUGCAUUAGCCAUCACCAGCAGCAGCAACAGCAACAAUAUUACACUCAUCAUCAUCAACAACAGCAGCAACCUUCACAAUUCUCUAUCAUGGCACCGCAAACUCAGCCACUGGCUUUCAACGUGCUGCCCAACUCACUACCCACCGCAUUGUGGGAGUGGAACCCAAUGCCAGAAGGAAAUAGAGAGUACAACCUUAACAAUCCGUUCAAGUAAUCAAUGAACUGCACACACAAUUAUAUUUAUGUGUAGGUUAAUUAGUUAUACUUUAUGUUGCUGGUAAUGAUCAUAAUUAAUCUAUACAGAUAUGUGUGUAGGUUAAUUCCCUCUAAUUAUCAACUUUAAUUAAUGUCAUUAGCUUUUGGAUUGACUGAUAUUAAUUAAUGUAUGAUCUGUUUCUCUAUUAGGGUUUUGGAUUUUAGUUAAUGAUAGAGUUUUCUGAUUCACAGUAGAGAAUUUUAUUUUAGCCUUUAAAGAAUUUGAGGUUUCAAAAGUGAUGGAGAAUUUUCACAUGGUAGGCUAAUCCUGUGUGGGUAUGAUUAUCUGUAGUUGGGGUUCAUAUGGAGUAUAGUCAAUUUCAUUUCCUGGAAGGUAAUGUCCAUUAUUGAGCUCAUAAAUGUGUCUUGGUCUAAAAUGGAGAUUUAAGUGAAGGAUAGGACUCUUUCACUCAAGGCAUUCAGUGCAAGUUCAGAAAAUGAUGAUGCUAUGAUUGGUACUAGGAGAUUAUAUAGAGACAAAGGAACAUAUAACAUCUUGGAAAGUAUUAUAGUAUUAGAGAGAACAAGGUUGGACCCCAUAUAUCACAACCCAACAUCCAAAAUGAAGACAGCAUAUACAGAUUCUCAUUUUGAUUUGAUUCUCUUAUUUGUGGGUGAGAAGGGUACCAACCCCUCCAAUUCAAAACCUUGUCUUUCCUUUUGGAUUUUUUUUUAGACAAUUUGGAGGCUAUCUGAGAUAUAUGUAGCUAGAUCAACAUUGAACCAUUUUUAAUUUUUGUUUUUGGCAGAAAUGGCUCCAAUUGGGACUCAAACUUAAGACCUCAAAACCCUGAUUGCAUUUUAACUUGUAGAAAUUAUUUAUGAUUAUUACAUGGAUUAAAAAGCAUAUAUAGAGCCUACACAAUGUGCCCUAGUUGACUGUAUAGUGGCUGAUGUGUAGGAGAGAUAUAGCACUGUAUAACACUUGGUAGGUCUUUGCCACUUUUUUUUAUAAGCAAAAGAUUUCAUAAAUUGCUCAUCUAGGCCUCCUCAAAGAAACCAACCUAGAGCAUGUCUUUGUCAAAAUUAUUACCAGUGCAAAGUCAGUGAGAAGUGCAUGCGCUCCAUUUCAUGGAGAGGUCAAUUUGCUGCUAUGUUCAAUCUUUACCUAUACAUUGUUUGCUAUUAGCCUUCUUCAUUCCUUGUCUCAUGCAACUGUUUGUUGAUAUUCCUAAAAGAAACAGCUAUACGCAUCUUUGAUUUUGUGUAGAAGAGAUUUAGGUUGGGGAUUGACCUAUCUUGGGUGCAUGUAUAUAUAUUGCAUUCCUCUUUUUUAAAGUGAAAGAUUUACUGUUCAUUCAUUUUUUUU